Molecule: non-coding RNA, 110 nt
Organism: Apodospora peruviana
Lineage: Eukaryota; Fungi; Ascomycota; Sordariomycetes; Sordariales; Lasiosphaeriaceae
Source: the annotation of a GenBank genome assembly
UCGGGUAUGGUGUAGCGGUAACAUCGUUGACUCUCACUUCCUACUCUCACUUCCUUUACGAGUGAUAUGCUUUCUGCUCACCAGCCCGGUUUCGACUCCCGGUAUCCGAG